RNAcentral lists this ribosomal RNA (254 nucleotides) under uncultured bacterium. RNAcentral describes it as "partial 16S ribosomal RNA". It matches the Rfam family "Bacterial small subunit ribosomal RNA", at positions 524 to 776 of the family's 1533-position model. The record is from RNAcentral.
UACGUAGGGCGCAAGCGUUUAUCCGGAAUUAUUGGGCGUAAAGAGCUCGUAGGCGGUUUGUCGCGUCUGCUGUGAAAGGCCGGGGCUCAACUCCGGUUCUGCAGUGGGUACGGGCAGACUAGAGUGCAGUAGGGGAGACUGGAAUUCCUGGUGUAGCGGUGAAAUGCGCAGAUAUCAGGAGGAACACCGAUGGCGAAGGCAGGUCUCUGGGCUGUAACUGACGCUGAGGAGCGAAAGCAUGGGGAGCGAACAGG